UGGCGGCGUGCUUCAAACAUGCAAGUCGAACGGAGUUAAUUUUGUAAGCUUGCUUUAGAAUUAACUUAGUGGCGGACUGGUGAGUAACGCGUGAGUAAUCUGCCUAUCACAGGGGGAUAACAGAGGGAAACUUCUGCUAAUACCGCAUAAGACCACAGGAUGGCAUCAUCAAGGGGUCAAAGGUUUAGAUCUGGUGAUAGAUGAGCUUGCGUAUCAUUAGCUAGUUGGUGAGGGUAAAGGCCCACCAAGGCGACGAUGAUUAGCCGAUCUGAGAGGAUGACCGGCCACACUGGGACUGAGAUACGGCCCAGACUCCUACGGGAGGCAGCAGUUAGGAAUAUUGGGCAAUGGAGGAAACUCUGACCCAGCAACGCCGCGUGAAGGAAGAAGGCUUUCGGGUUGUAAACUUCUUUUAUCAGGGACGAAGCAAGUGACGGUACCUGAUGAAUAAGCCACGGCUAACUACGUGCCAGCAGCCGCGGUAA
This 485-nucleotide ribosomal RNA is filed under the name uncultured bacterium. RNAcentral's name for it is "bacterial SSU rRNA". It matches the Rfam family "Bacterial small subunit ribosomal RNA", at positions 37 to 523 of the family's 1533-position model. The record is from RNAcentral.